RNAcentral lists this ribosomal RNA (265 nucleotides) under uncultured bacterium. RNAcentral describes it as "partial 16S ribosomal RNA". It matches the Rfam family "Bacterial small subunit ribosomal RNA", at positions 793 to 1055 of the family's 1533-position model. The record is from RNAcentral.
GUCCACGCUGUAAACGAUGGGGACUAGGUGUGGGGGGUAUUGACCCCUCCCGUGCCGACGCUAACGCAUUAAGUCCCCCGCCUGGGGAUUACGGCCGCAAGGUUAAAACUCAAAGGAAUUGACGGGGGCCCGCACAAGCGGUGGAGCAUGUGGUUCAAUUCGACGCAACGCGAAGAACCUUACCUGGGCUAGACAACAGGGGACAGUCUCAGAGAUGAGAUCUUCUCUUCGGAGACCCCUGGUUCAGGUGCUGCAUGGCUGUCGU